This 165-nucleotide unclassified non-coding RNA is filed under the name Mus musculus (house mouse). Its description in RNAcentral is "noncoding RNA TB1561b.RT". The record is from RNAcentral. Lineage: Eukaryota; Metazoa; Chordata; Mammalia; Rodentia; Muridae.
ACUUCCCAGCUGGGCUAAAGGGUCCUCACAUUUGCAAGUCAAACACCCCCCAUUCAAUUUCUCCCAGCUGAUGACCAAGGAGGUAAGAGGACAGAUGGGCCACCUGCCCUCUAUCUCAUGAGGGGAGGGAGACUCAGGAGGAAAAGGUCAUCUGCUCAGAAACUG